UUGGUGAACCAGCGGAGGGAUCAUUACUGAGUUUACGCUCUACAACCCUUUGUGAACAUACCUAUAACUGUUGCUUCGGCGGGUAGGGUCUCCGUGACCCUCCCGGCCUCCCGCCCCCGGGCGGGUCGGCGCCCGCCGGAGGAUAACCAAACUCUGAUUUAACGACGUUUCUUCUGAGUGGUACAAGCAAAUAAUCAAAACUUUUAACAACGGAUCUCUUGGUUCUGGCAUCGAUGAAGAACGCAGCGAAAUGCGAUAAGUAAUGUGAAUUGCAGAAUUCAGUGAAUCAUCGAAUCUUUGAACGCACAUUGCGCCCGCCAGCAUUCUGGCGGGCAUGCCUGUUCGAGCGUCAUUUCAACCCUCAAGCUCUGCUUGGUGUUGGGGCCCUACAGCUGAUGUAGGCCCUCAAAGGUAGUGGCGGACCCUCCCGGAGCCUCCUUUGCGUAGUAACUUUACGUCUCGCACUGGGAUCCGGAGGGACUCUUGCCGUAAAACCCCCCAAUUUUCCAAAGGUUGACCUCGGAUCAGGUAGGAAUACCCGCUGAACUUAAGCAUAU
RNAcentral lists this ribosomal RNA (557 nucleotides) under Colletotrichum tropicale. RNAcentral describes it as "eukaryotic LSU rRNA". The stretch from base 199 to 352 matches the Rfam family "5.8S ribosomal RNA". Lineage: Eukaryota; Fungi; Ascomycota; Sordariomycetes; Glomerellales; Glomerellaceae. The record is from RNAcentral.